GAUAACAUCACAAACAAACAGGCGGCGAUAAUGCUAAAUCAAACAUGGAGGCUUCUAUGAAAUCAAAUCGGAACACAACCAUGGUUCUCUCAGAAGGAUGCAAAGCAGAAUCGAAACAUAGAAAUAAAGCUCGGAAAGGAAGCUAACCGGUUGCGGCGAGCUCGACCGGCGAAUGUAGGUAAGCGUUUCGCCUGAACUUUUCCCCCUAACGUUUCCUUUCUUCUUGUUCGUCUCUUCUGAGCUCCCGUUUGUCCUACGCUUUUUGUUUUUUGGCAGAAACCUUCCUUCCUUCGUAGUGAACAAUAGCGGCUCUUUUUGUUUUUUCAGAAUUCGCCCUUCCUGAUGGGUGAACAAUGGCGGCUCUCCAAACUUAGGGUUUUUCCGUUCUUCCUCUUUAUGAACACUGGCCUCUCUUAUAUAUGACUCAUCUCCUCUCUGCUGUGUUGCUGUGUUUUCUCAGAGUAGUGGGAAGUGUCUGUACGGAAGACGUUUGGAACUUUGUCCUUAUUCCAGCUUGUGGUCCCUCUCCUCACGUUAACCUUUGUGUUAGUAACAAUUGCAUUUACCACUGUGAGUUUUUGAAAAUGUUUUAAUUACAAAUUAACUAACUGUGUGCUAAACCAAUGUCGCAGGGCCUGUUCGGGCACGAUAUCGUUAACUUGGCUUCACUACGGUAACCUUUGACAUAAUGCUUUCUGCAUCAGCAAUGGGAUUUGCAGAGCUCAACCUCAACUUCUGAGCUAC
This 744-nucleotide long non-coding RNA is filed under the name Lathyrus oleraceus (garden pea). Its description in RNAcentral is "Pisum sativum (pea) long non-coding RNA (PSAT_LNC030060)". The record is from RNAcentral. Lineage: Eukaryota; Viridiplantae; Streptophyta; Magnoliopsida; Fabales; Fabaceae.